Molecule: long non-coding RNA, 837 nt
Filed under: Fragaria vesca (wild strawberry)
Lineage: Eukaryota; Viridiplantae; Streptophyta; Magnoliopsida; Rosales; Rosaceae
Description: long non-coding RNA (FVES_LNC005026)
Source: RNAcentral
CUAAGAUAUUAUGUAUCUUUCUAGAUAUUCUUUAUGUGUGCCUUGGCCUUAUGCCAAUAGGAUAUGUAGUUUAACUAGAUCUAUGUAUUCAUAUCCUUACCAUAUUGGUAUUGUGUAAUUCCCUAUAUAAAGGGCUCCUAUCAAUGAAUAAGAUGAUGAUUCUCUUGCUAUCUCUCUUUCUCUACACUUUAUACUUCAUCAUAAGUAUUAUUAUUUACUUACAUGGCAUGACACAUAAAACUAAGGCCACAACCCUAUAUCAGUGCCCUAUAUCUAUAUAUGCAAGUACAAAACCUACACAAGGUACGUAGAACAAAUUCAAGGCAAGGAAGUGAAAGUUGUUAGUAUUAAAUUUUACAUACAUACAUGUGUGUAUACAAUUUCCUUUUAGAGCGGUGUCCCUCUUUGAAAUUAAAAUGUGGAUUUUUUUAUUUCGCUCACUUUCAUGUCGUAUUUUCACAUCUCAACCGUACAAUGUCUAAAUAAUAUGUAAAUUAUUCUUGCAAAGUUUCAUCUAAUUUGAAGAUUAUUUAGGUAUCGAAUUAGAUUAAAUGAAUCAACUGAACAAAAUUUGUCCAAACGGAACCGUUUGUGUAAAUCACAAUUACGGAAGCUCAAAUGAUCUCCAAUUUGGAUGAAACUUUGCAUGAAUGAUCUACACACUAUGUUCUAGACACUGAACGGUGGAGAUGUGAAAUUGUGAUAUAAAAGUGAGCGAAAUGAGGAGCACCAUACUAUAAUUUCAAAACGGUGUCCCGCUUUGAACAAGAACUGUAUGUAUAUAUGUGUGUGUGUAUAUAUAUAUACACACACACCUAAUUAUAGUUUUAUACCCAA